GCCAGGUGUGGUGGUGUGUGCCUGUAAUCCCAGCUACUUGGGAGGCUGAGGCAGGAGAAUUGCUUGAACCCAGGAGGCGGAGGUUGCAGUGAGCCAAGAUUGUACCACUGCACUCCAGCCUGGGCAACAAAGCAAGACUCUGUCUCAA
Molecule: non-coding RNA, 148 nt
Organism: Pan troglodytes (chimpanzee)
Lineage: Eukaryota; Metazoa; Chordata; Mammalia; Primates; Hominidae
Rfam family: Metazoan signal recognition particle RNA
About the family: The signal recognition particle (SRP) is a universally conserved ribonucleoprotein. It is involved in the co-translational targeting of proteins to membranes.
Source: Rfam